RNAcentral lists this long non-coding RNA (877 nucleotides) under Heterocephalus glaber (naked mole-rat). Its description in RNAcentral is "lncRNA (ENSHGLG00000035933.1)". The record is from RNAcentral. Lineage: Eukaryota; Metazoa; Chordata; Mammalia; Rodentia; Bathyergidae.
AUAAGAAACAGUUGAUGAAGAUUUGUGUGUAGCAAACGAAGAAGUGUGAGAAAAUCCCCAGAACUGUGAGAAGCUACUGGAAUAAUAUAAGGAUGGAUCUAAUCUGGUUGAAUUCUGACUGCCACAUUACUGGGGAUUGAACUCAAGGCCUCCUGUAUGCUAGCUAGUCUCUACUUCUCAAGUACACCCCCAGCCCUCAUUACAUUCUUAAAAAUGUUCAUAGCAUCUUGCAAGAGGAGUCUUUUUACCACUUGGGACCUCAGUCAAGAAAUGUACUUAUUAUGUCAGGGUCUCCAGCCGUGGGGAACAUGCUGAUCCACUGGACCCCUGCCACGACCACCACCUCUGGCCUCUUGGCUGUACUGCCCCCUGGUUCCACACUACAAAGACACAGAGGACAUUGGACCAGCAGACCACUGUACUGGGUAAGUUGGAAUGAUCAUCACUGCCCAUCUGAACUGGGACUAUCUUCAGGGGAAGGGCAAGUGGAACCUGCAGUACAACCCUCCAGAGUUCAACCCUACAAGAGGACAAGGAGCUCAACUUGGGACUUGCAGCCAGAAAUCUGCCUGAAUCUCACAGGUCUGUGACUGGCGUGCUGAGACUCAUUGACUUAUAUGUGCACACUGCUACCCACGUUGUCUAUUGUGACAACAGAGACAUACCCUGAAAGAAGCCUUUCAUUUUCAUUUUUAUUUUUUAUUUCCAAAAUUAGUAUUAUUGGUUUUUUUUCUCUUUUCUUUUCUUUUUCUCCUCUUAUCUUUAAUACUUUUCCUACUCUUUGCAAAUUUUUGUUUUUCUCUCCUUUUGUUUUUCUUUCUUUUCUCUUUCCUUUCUCUCUCUCUUACACUCACUCUCUUAUUAUUCCACAUUGUUC